Molecule: ribosomal RNA, 458 nt
Filed under: uncultured bacterium
Lineage: Bacteria
Description: partial 16S ribosomal RNA
Rfam family: Bacterial small subunit ribosomal RNA
Source: RNAcentral
AACGAACGCUGGCGGCAUGCCUAACACAUGCAAGUCGAACGAGACCUUCGGGUCUAGUGGCGCACGGGUGCGUAACGCGUGGGAACCUGCCCUUAGGUUCGGAAUAACUCCCCGAAAGGGGUGCUAAUACCGGAUAAUGUCUUCGGACCAAAGAUUUAUCGCCUUUGGAUGGGCCCGCGUUGGAUUAGCUAGUUGGUAGGGUAAAAGCCUACCAAGGCGACGAUCCAUAGCUGGUCCGAGAGGAUGAUCAGCCACACUGGAACUGAGAGACGGCCCAGACGACUAGGGGAGGAAGCAGGAGGGAAAAGGACGCAAUGAGAGAGAGCGGGAGGGAGAAAAGGCGUGUGAGUGAUGAAGGUCUUCGGAGCGUAAAGAUAUGUGAUUAGAGAAGAAAAAAGGGGCAAGGAAAUAUGCAAGCAUGGAGGGGGACUAAGCUGAGAGGCAAGGCCAGAGAAGUG